AUUGAACGCUGGCGGCAGGCUUAACACAUGCAAGUCGAGCGGGGUGAUGGUGCUUGCACUAUCACUUAGCGACGGACGGGUGAGUAAUGCUUAGGAAUCUGCCUAUUAGUGGGGGUCAACAUCUCGAAAGGGAUGCUAAUACCGCAUACGUCCUACGGGAGAAAGCAGGGGAUCACUUGUGACCUUGCGCUAAUAGAUGAGCCUAAGUCGGAUUAGCUAGUUGGUGGGGUAAAGGCCUACCAAGGCGACGAUCUGUAGCGGGUCUGAGAGGAUGAUCCGCCACACUGGGACUGAGACACGGCCCAGACUCCUACGGGAGGCAGCAGUGGGGAAUAUUGGACAAUGGGGGGAACCCUGAUCCAGCCAUGCCGCGUGUGUGAAGAAGGCCUUAUGGUUGUAAAGCACUUUAAGCGAGGAGGAGGCUCUUUUGGUUAAUACCCAAGAUGAGUGGACGUUACUCGCAGAAUAAGCACCGGCUAACUCUGUGCCAGCCGCCGCGGUAA
RNAcentral lists this ribosomal RNA (503 nucleotides) under uncultured bacterium. Its description in RNAcentral is "partial 16S ribosomal RNA". It matches the Rfam family "Bacterial small subunit ribosomal RNA", at positions 30 to 523 of the family's 1533-position model. The record is from RNAcentral.